CCUUAUUUCCUAUCACAGGUGGUACCAGUUAAAGUACAAAGUAAUCCUCCCUUCUGACCACUGUUGAAUUGUCCCUGGGGUGGGCACCUGACUCAAGCUGGACCGAUCAUACUUCUUCACCAGGAUUUUAUAUUUGGGCUGAAAUCAUCUUUCUCUGUCUUUUGUUGGCUGAGACUCAACGUGUUGGCAGUCAAGUCCUGUAUGAAGAAUGAAGAGUGGAAAAAAUAGCAGUGAGAGAAGAAUGAAGGGAGAGGGAAAGGGAGGAAGGAGUGAAUGAAUGAAGCUCAGAGGCCCUGAGUUCUUUACAGGCAGUGAUUACCAGCCUUUCUCCUGUCAUGACCCGCAUAGAAAAUGGCCAUGUUAGAACUACCCAUCAAGAGGAAGAGGCAGGGCUGUGCUUAUGGCUGGUGAGUACAGCAGUAAUUGGAACACAGGUUUUAGUUCUGGGAGGGGACACGGUAACAUACCCAGAUGGGGAAGCUCAGUGGCAAUACCUGGUCCCAGCUUGGGUCCUGUGAGAUGCCCUGGUGACUCUUUGCUCCCCAGGUGCUUCUCCUGUGUGUUCCAGUAACACCCUGGGCCCUGGACCGUAAAUGAUGUAAUUAUUUGUCUGUAUGCCCUGUUGUACAGGAGCCCCGGGAGGAUAGGAGGCACAUCUGUCUUUUCAUCUUUCUAGCCCCAGUGCCUCGAGUGGGAUAAACCUCUCCUGAAUGCAGGAAUUAUGUUCUGCCCACAUGAAAAGAUUAACAAGAAAAUUGUAAUUGAAACAAGAUCUUAUGUGUAAAUGUUCUUUCUUUCUCAAGGAGACAACUUUGAAUGGAAGCCUUGGAAAAGAAAGUACAUGGGAACUAUGUGUUUUUGGCAUUAUCUACCUAGUAGUUUUGUCAGACCAUCAAAUCUUUCAGUUGGUCGUAUUUUGACUUGAGUUAGGGUGCUCAGUGUUCAUAGUAGAAAAGAAGACUCAGCCCAUUUUCAGAAUAACAAAUCUUCUGUGGGAAAAAAAAAAAAUCAGUAAAAAUCCAGAGCCUAAGCACCAUCCUAACAGUAUGGGCAUUUCCUAGGUUUUUUCGUGUUCUGUAUCCCUACUUUUGGGUACUGGGGCCCUCCUCCCAGAGUGAGGCUCCUCUCCAGGCUGGCUUCUCAUUCUCCCUUUCUCUGGAGGCCACUUUUGACCUCCAGUCUGCCCUGUCUCCUGGCUCACGGGUCUCCAGGAUCACGGCUUCACUUCACUGUGGCCUAAGAGACCCCAGCUAUGAGGAUUAAGUGACGCUGCACUCAGUUCCCACUCAUGCAGGUCGGUCUAGUUCUAUGGCACUGAAAAUCUCUGCCAGGGUCCUUCCUGAUCCGUUAUUUCUCAGGCCCUGCCGCUGUGGCUCAUUGUUAUUUUGUUGAUACCCCAUUCUGCUUUGAAUUCUGGUUGGAGUGGAUUUUUUUUUUUUUAAUUCUUGACUUUUGGAAAAACAGGAUUCUUUCUUUGUUGGAACCUUGGCAUACCUUUAUUUAAUAUUUACUUUAAAAACUUGUCUCUCCAAUAGCUUGGUCUACUUUCUUAGACUUAGUCCUUUUUGCGUCCCUUUACUUUAG
Molecule: long non-coding RNA, 1584 nt
Filed under: Marmota monax (woodchuck)
Lineage: Eukaryota; Metazoa; Chordata; Mammalia; Rodentia; Sciuridae
Source: RNAcentral